Long non-coding RNA from Oncorhynchus mykiss (rainbow trout), 3703 nucleotides. NCBI's taxonomy places the organism in Eukaryota, Metazoa, Chordata, Actinopteri, Salmoniformes, Salmonidae. The record is from Ensembl.
AUGACCAAUGCAAGUGGAUGUGAACUGCUGUUUAAAAAGAACCUCACUGACGGUCCGACACUGAUAUUCUCACUGAAAAGAAACAAGGUGACCUUCAAGAGACCCACUGAAGACAGAUUACAGUUCUUUAUGAACAACGGGACCUUUAGGUUAACCAACGUGGAGAGGGCUGAUUCUGGGAAAUACUUCUUGGAGAUCUACGAUUCCGGAGGGGAACAUUUGGGAACCAGACGAGUACAACUGGACAUUGAAGGCAUGGUGACCUUCUGUAAUGCUACACAGAAUAUGUCGUGUUACGGAGCUCUGGGAGGAACUGUCUAUCUCCAGCUGAUGAAUGAUGCCACAGGAUCCGAACUCACAUUCAAAAAAGACCCCACUGGUUCGAGAACAGUGAUAUUCAAAAUAAAACAAAACAAAAUAAUCCAUGAACUCAUUAAAGCCAGAUCAGAGUUCUUCAUCAAUAAUGGAACACUAAAAAUAAAUAACACAGAGAGGAGUGAUUCUGCUAAAUAUUCUUUAGAAAUCUUCAACUCAGAUGGACUUUACUUGGACACGAGAGGAGUACAACUGAUAAUUGGAGGAGGAUCUUAUGGCACUGCCAUAGGGUCACUAGUAGCUGUGGUCCUGGUCCUUGCAGUGGUGGUGGGAGCUUACUGUAUUCGCAAGAGGAGGAACCCUCCACAGGCAUCAGAUGCUGUUGAGAGUCCAGAACUGGAGUGUGAUGACAUCACGAUUCUAAAGAAGAGGGAGAAACAGAGAGAGGUUCCAGAGGAGGUGGUGUAUGGACAGAUUGUAGUGCUGGAGGGUGCCAGACCAAACACGGAGAGAGACAGACCUGAGGGGCAGGAGGAGACUUUGUAUGCUGGAAUACAGCUUGGCCAAUGAGUGCUGCAUGUUUGAAGGGUUGGUCUUUAGAAGUGGUACUGAAGCCUUGUUUCUCCAUUUGUUACUGUAACGAAUUGGAUUAACUUUCCCAUAUUACUGUUUAUAUUUCAAUGCAUUCAAUGCUGAGGGUUUUGUACAUUAUUUACCUAAAUAAAUAUCCCAACAAAUGGACUGUCUACAUUUGUCAUAGUCUCUCUGUUACUGAUUUAAUGUUUUAUUUAUUGACGUAUAAUUAUUAUUAUUUUUUUUUACAAACUCUCAACAAGGUUAUUGUGCAGUAGUAAAAGUUGUCAUUCACUGCAGAAGUUUGUGAUUGAAAGGAUGGCCCACUAGUGUGUCCUUCAUGGAAGAAUGGUUCCUUUUUUUGGUUAUUUUCUUAAUUUGCUUCUAAUAAACAAACCCAAUUCGUCACUGUUUGAGCUCCCAGGAAUUGCUAUAUAAAUGUAGUCCAUAAUGAUUUAUUGUUAUUCUGUCCAACUGCAACCCAAAAGGAAUCAGUUACAACCGGUCGAUGCCAUCGAUGAGUCACAAACAACCAUUUGGGAAACAUUAUAAAUUUGGUCCUCUCUGUUUCACUUUUUAUUUCUCUCACCUCUCCUCCUCUUAAAUCCAAUUUCUUUCUUUCUUUCUUUCUUUAUUUCUUUCUUUCUUUCUUUCUUUCUUUCUUUCGCAUUCAUUUAUUUUUUUGUAAUGUCACAAUCUUAAAUGGACUGAUAUAGCCGACUAAUUGUGAAGAAGAAGGUACUGUGUUAAUGUCAGUGAUGAACAGCUUGUUCAGUAUGUUAGAGCUGACCUCUGCCCUGACAAAACAAACGAGGUGUCAUUUUCUCAGGCCGAAUAUUUCUUUACACUCAAAAGUACACUCUUAGAGGUGAAUUCCAUGUAGAACCCUCCGUGGAAAGGGGACAGCCGAAGAACACUUACUGUAAGUUCUAGAUAUAAAUUAUUUUUCUUAGAGUGUAUUCUCACAUCACUUUUUUACAACUUAUCUGAUAUAACACAUCAAGAGACAUGAAUUUAAGUUCCUCUUUCCUCUGAGUUAGAACUUAGAAAAUCAGCUCAGAAUGAAAUAGUUAGGAUUUUGGUACAGUACAGUAUUGCUUCAUUUGUUAACUUGCCCUGUGUUGUGAAGAGACAUGAAGGCUUUGUUUGGACUGUUGGUGAUGUUAGCAGGAGUAUCUCAUGAUAAGACGUUUCUUUAUGUGUUGAUUUCCUUGUUUUACACAUGAUGUAAAGUGCCUUGUUUGUAUCAUGCAGAAAGUGAACCACUUGAUCAAAGUUGUUUGUGGUAUACUACAGGCUACUCAGAGUCACUUUUGUCAAAUUAAUCCCUCUCAUAAUGACUAAUGACAGAUACAGAGACAAUAUUCAAAACACUGCAAAAGACAGUUGUCUCGUUAUUCAUUGUCCUGUGAUAAUUAUAACUGACUGAGGUGCUGUUAUGUUUUUUAAUACCUUGAUGUCAUCGGUUUGGUUACACCGUUGCUUGUAUUCUCAUCCAUAAAAUUAAACCUUAAAACUAGGACAGUGAUAGUCAGUCACUACAGUGUCUAUCCUCUGUUGAUUUUCAGGCAUGGAGACCCCCUGUGAUGCUACACUGGAUGGAGCUCAGUGUUAUGGAACUCUGGGAGGAACUGACUCUCUCCAGCUGAUGACCGUUGUCAGUGGAGUCCCUGACAUAUCAUUAAAAACCAAAUCCAAUGAUGCUGCUAAAAAUAUACUCCAAAUUAGAAGAAAAAAAUUACGAAAAAAAAUCCAUUGAAACCAGAGCACACUUCUUUAUCAACAACGGGACAUGUAAGAUAGAUAACACAGAAAGCAGUUAUUCUGCUGAAUAUAGACUAGAAACAUUUAAUUCAGAUGGGGAAACAUUAGGGACCAGAAUACUACAACUGUCUAUUGAAGGUACAGUAAUUAGCUAACCCUUUAAAAAUCUCAGAUGAACAGCAGAGGGGUUUAUGACACGAUCAAUCUCGAAGGGGCCAACGAAUCGGGGAGCUAGUUUUUUGGGAAACCACUUUCAGGGGCAAGUCCUUAGAUGAAAGCCAUACCUUUUGGCCUGGAGUGUAGACUGGGGCUGAAGCACGAAGAGCAGCCCGGGCCCUCCUCCAGGUGCGACGACAACAGCGCAUGUGGUCCUGUACUGAGGGCACCGCUACUUCAACCUCUUGGGCAGGGAACAAGGGAGGUUCGUAACCCAGAGCACACUCAAAGGGAGACAUACCUGAUGAGGCGUUGAUGAGGGUGUUGUGAGCAUAUUCUACCCAGGGUAGCUGGGCACUCCAAGAGGAAGGGUUAGCCGAAGUCACAGAGCGUAUUGCAGUUUCCAACUCCUGGUUGGCCCGCUCGGUCUGGUUGUUGGUCUGGGGGUGAUAUCCAGACGAAAGGCUAAUAUUAAUACCCAGAGCUGGGGGUCCUCUGUCAGAAACAAUGUCACUAGGGAUGCCAUGCAGCCACAAAACAUGGGAUACCAGCAGGUCCAGAGUCUCCUGGGAGUAAGGGAACACCCUCCUGAAAUGGACAAAAAUGAAUGGGAAGUCAUUGGCACUGGACAAACCAUAUACACAUUGUCCAAUCCCUCUCAAUACGGCGUUGUUUUGUUCAAAGUUGAUUGCAAAUGCCAUAUGGCAAAUGCCAGGUAUGCUCCACCGUGGUUUUUCAUAUUGAAAAUGCAACACAAGUCAACAUUCAAAAGUAAAAUUUUGAAAAAGUGAAAAAAAAAAAAAAACCUAGCACCCCCUUAAAAAGUGCUCUCUGGACCGUUUUUCGAAAUUCUUUUGAUUUUGUUUUGUCAAUUACACAUGUGUAAGUACUGUAU